Molecule: transfer RNA, 73 nt
Filed under: Ixodes scapularis (black-legged tick)
Lineage: Eukaryota; Metazoa; Arthropoda; Arachnida; Ixodida; Ixodidae
Rfam family: tRNA
About the family: Transfer RNA (tRNA) molecules are approximately 80 nucleotides in length. Their secondary structure includes four short double-helical elements and three loops (D, anti-codon, and T loops). Further hydrogen bonds mediate the characteristic L-shaped molecular structure. tRNAs have two regions of fundamental functional importance: the anti-codon, which is responsible for specific mRNA codon recognition, and the 3' end, to which the tRNAs corresponding amino acid is attached (by aminoacyl-tRNA synthetases). tRNAs cope with the degeneracy of the genetic code in two manners: having more than one tRNA (with a specific anti-codon) for a particular amino acid; and 'wobble' base-pairing, i.e. permitting non-standard base-pairing at the 3rd anti-codon position.
Source: Rfam by way of RNAcentral
CCCUGGUUAGCUCAGUUGGUAGAGCGCUGCAGUUGUAAUGGAGAGGUCCCGGGUUCGAUACCCGGACCAGGCG